UUGAUUCUGGCUCAGGAUGAACGCUAGCUACAGGCUUAACACAUGCAAGUCGAGGGGAAACGACAUCGAAAGCUUGCUUUUGAUGGGCGUCGACCGGCGCACGGGUGAGUAACGCGUAUCCAACCUGCCCACCACUUGGGGAUAACCUUGCGAAGGUAAGACUAAUACCCAAUGACGUCUCUAGAAGACAUCUGAAAGAGAUUAAAGAUUUAUCGGUGAUGGAUGGGGAUGCGUCUGAUUAGCUUGUUGGCGGGGUAACGGCCCACCAAGGCUACGAUCAGUAGGGGUUCUGAGAGGAAGGUCCCCCACAUUGGAACUGAGACACGGUCCAAACUCCUACGGGAGGCAGCAGUGAGGAAUAUUGGUCAAUGGACGAGAGUCUGAACCAGCCAAGUAGCGUGCAGGAUGACGGCCCUAUGGGUUGUAAACUGCUUUUAUAAGGGAAUAAAGUGAGUCUCGUGAGACUUUUUGCAUGUACCUUAUGAAUAAGGACAGGCUAAUUCCGUGCCAGCAGCCGCGGUAAUACGGAAGGUCCGGGCGUUAUCCGGAUUUAUUGGGUUUAAAGGGAGCGUAGGCCGGAGAUUAAGCGUGUUGUGAAAUGUAGAUGCUCAACAUCUGCACUGCAGCGCGAACUGGUUUCCUUGAGUACGCACAAAGUGGGCGGAAUUCGUGGUGUAGCGGUGAAAUGCUUAGAUAUCACGAAGAACUCCGAUUGCGAAGGCAGCUCACUGGAGCGCAACUGACGCUGAAGCUCGAAAGUGCGGGUAUCGAACAGGAUUAGAUACCCUGGUAGUCCGCACGGUAAACGAUGGAUGCCCGCUGUUGGUCUGAAUAGGCCAGCGGCCAAGCGAAAGCAUUAAGCAUCCCACCUGGGGAGUACGCCGGCAACGGUGCAACUCAAAGGAAUUGACGG
RNAcentral lists this ribosomal RNA (913 nucleotides) under uncultured Bacteroidota bacterium. RNAcentral describes it as "bacterial SSU rRNA". It matches the Rfam family "Bacterial small subunit ribosomal RNA", at positions 13 to 916 of the family's 1533-position model. The record is from RNAcentral. Lineage: Bacteria; Pseudomonadati; Bacteroidota.